RNAcentral lists this unclassified non-coding RNA (272 nucleotides) under Hevea brasiliensis (rubber tree). The record is from RNAcentral. Lineage: Eukaryota; Viridiplantae; Streptophyta; Magnoliopsida; Malpighiales; Euphorbiaceae.
GAUUAAUGUGAUAACUUUUAAGAAUAUCACAAUUCUUUUUUAAUUUUAGCUCAGUGAGUCGGCACAUGCAUGUUUGCACACGAACACAUGUAUUGUGCAUACAUAACUUGGUGAAUCCAUCACCCCAGCAAUUAGACUUAAAAAAGGAAGAACUCCUCAAUGCAAUGAAUGCCUACUGCUGGGCUUCCUAAAAUGACAGCACUUUCUUCUCUUUUUGCUAUUAGGGCAGGCUACCACACCUUUCCCUGUAGAACCAGAGCAACACUUCUCAA